RNAcentral lists this transfer RNA (53 nucleotides) under Trioceros quadricornis. RNAcentral describes it as "tRNA-Cys". The record is from RNAcentral. Lineage: Eukaryota; Metazoa; Chordata; Lepidosauria; Squamata; Chamaeleonidae.
AAGUCCAGGAUUGUUUAAAAUCUUUUGGGGAUUUGCACUCCCGGUACUGAACU